Molecule: transfer RNA, 76 nt
Filed under: Candidatus Campbellbacteria bacterium CG10_big_fil_rev_8_21_14_0_10_35_52
Lineage: Bacteria; Candidatus Campbelliibacteriota
Description: tRNA-Thr
Rfam family: tRNA
About the family: Transfer RNA (tRNA) molecules are approximately 80 nucleotides in length.
Source: RNAcentral
GCCGCCUUAGCUCAGUUGGUAGAGCAAUGCAUUCGUAACGCAUAGGUCCGCAGUUCAAUUCUGCGAGGCGGCUCCA